Molecule: ribosomal RNA, 136 nt
Filed under: Pteropus vampyrus (large flying fox)
Lineage: Eukaryota; Metazoa; Chordata; Mammalia; Chiroptera; Pteropodidae
Source: RNAcentral
CUGUGUAUACUGGACAUUCAAUUGAGAUCUCGGUAAGGCAAAGUGUUAGGAGUAGGGCUGAUCUCAGAAGCUAAGCAGGGUCAGGCCUGGUUAGUACUUGGAUUGGAGACCACCUAGGAAUACCAGGUGCUAUAGG